GGUGAGAUGGCCGAGCGGUCUAAGGCGCCAGACUAAGGUUAUGUAAUCAUCUCGAUUACAGCAUCAUCUGGUCCGAAAGGGCGUGGGUUCGAAUCCCACUCUCAUCA
Non-coding RNA from Leucogyrophana mollusca, 107 nucleotides. Lineage: Eukaryota; Fungi; Basidiomycota; Agaricomycetes; Boletales. The record is from the annotation of a GenBank genome assembly.